UAUCUGUUGCAGCCUUCUUUUUGUUUUUAAGGAACAUCAAAGUUUUUAUCAUAAUUACAUUUGUUAUCUCAAAAGUGUUCAAUUAUAGCAUAAAUACUAUUAUUUUUGUAAUGCUAAAAAAAAUGUAAUGGCUUCGUUUGAAUUUGGAAGCAGUUCCCUUUUGGAUGGUCCCUCUGUACAUGGCCACAUACUCCGCCAAACGUUGUACCUUGCCCCCCCUCAGAGAACCAAGGUUAGAUUGUCCCCGCCCUCAGAGAACCAAGGUUAGAUUGUCCCCUCCCCCAUCAGAGAACCAAGGUUAGAUUGUCCCCUCCCCCAUCAGAGAACCAAGGUUAGAUUGUCCCCUUCCCCCCUCAGAGAACCAAGGUUAGAUUGUCGCCCCCCCCCCCUCAGAGAACCAAGGUUAAGUUGUCCCCUCCCCCCUCAGAGAACCAAGGUUAGAUUGUCCCCUCCCCCCUCAGAGAACCAAGGUUAAGUUGUCCCCCACCUCAGAGAACCAAGGUUAAGUUGUCCCCCACCUCAGAGAACCAAGGUUAAGUUGUCCCCCACCUCAGAGAACCAAGGUUAGGUUCACCCAUAAUGGUAUUACUAAUUCACAGAACCAUUUUAUUUAUUUAAAAUGUGUCUUUAUUUAUUUAGGUAAUAAAAUAACAUUUGUUAAUAUUUAUAUUUUAAAAUUUUACAAUAUGUGAGUGAGUGUGUUUUCAGCCUGGUUGUGUAAAAUACUGUUGCAUAUACAGUAUUUUAGGCAUCCUUUUAUUGUUAUGACUGUACAAUUGGUUUACUACCAAAGGCUAUGAUUUCAAGGUUGCCUGCGCACACACACACACACAAACACACACAUUCACACAUGCUUCAAUUUCUAUCAAAGUGAGGACCGCAUUUUGUACCAAUCAUUAACCUAACUUUUAUGCCCUAACUUACCAAACCCUCACUCCUAAACCUCAUGUUAAAGCCUAAAUGUAACCUUAGUGCUAAGGCAAAUUCUAACCCUAAACUUAAACAUAAACCUAAAAGACAGCCAUGGUGCUCACUUUUCCAAACUGUCCCUCACAUUGUAGUUAUUCCAGUACCUGCAUACACACACACAAAAAAUACUUUGUAAGGACCAAAAAUGUGGUCUGCACAAAUAUAAAGAUAGAAGUAUAAAACCACACACACAAUGUGGAAACAGACACAGAUCUUCCAACUGGCAGCAGACACACACUGACUCCUUAGAUUGUAUGCCAGGGCCUGGGUAAUAUCAUUUCUCUCCAAUUCUCUUACAGUAAAAGAAAUGUCAGGGCCGCUCUUCAAACAGCCCUCUGUUGACUCUGUAGACUGACAUCCUCUCACACUGCUGAGGCCCCUUAUGCUGCCUGGCUCCCAAAAUGAGACCCUACUGUCUCCGUGGUGCACUACUUCUGACCGGG
This is a long non-coding RNA of Esox lucius (northern pike), 1412 nucleotides long. Lineage: Eukaryota; Metazoa; Chordata; Actinopteri; Esociformes; Esocidae. The record is from Ensembl.